UUAAGCGACUAAGCGUACACGGUGGAUGCCCUGGCAGUCAGAGGCGAUGAAGGACGUGCUAAUCUGCGAUAAGCGUCGGUAAGGUGAUAUGAACCGUUAUAACCGGCGAUUUCCGAAUGGGGAAACCCAGUGUGUUUCGACACACUAUCAUUAACUGAAUCCAUAGGUUAAUGAGGCGAACCGGGGGAACUGAAACAUCUAAGUACCCCGAGGAAAAGAAAUCAACCGAGAUUCCCCCAGUAGCGGCGAGCGAACGGGGAGGAGCCCAGAGCCUGAAUCAGUGUGUGUGUUAGUGGAAGCGUCUGGAAAGGCGCGCGAUACAGGGUGACAGCCCCGUACACAAAAAUGCACAUGCUGUGAGCUCGAUGAGUAGGGCGGGACACGUGGUAUCCUGUCUGAAUAUGGGGGGACCAUCCUCCAAGGCUAAAUACUCCUGACUGACCGAUAGUGAACCAGUACCGUGAGGGAAAGGCGAAAAGAACCCCGGCGAGGGGAGUGAAAAAGAACCUGAAACCGUGUACGUACAAGCAGUGGGAGCCUCUUUUAUGGGGUGACUGCGUACCUUUUGUAUAAUGGGUCAGCGACUUAUAUUCUGUAGCAAGGUUAACCGAAUAGGGGAGCCGAAGGGAAACCGAGUCUUAACUGGGCGUUAAGUUGCAGGGUAUAGACCCGAAACCCGGUGAUCUAGCCAUGGGCAGGUUGAAGGUUGGGUAACACUAACUGGAGGACCGAACCGACUAAUGUUGAAAAAUUAGCGGAUGACUUGUGGCUGGGGGUGAAAGGCCAAUCAAACCGGGAGAUAGCUGGUUCUCCCCGAAAGCUAUUUAGGUAGCGCCUCGUGAAUUCAUCUCCGGGGGUAGAGCACUGUUUCGGCAAGGGGGUCAUCCCGACUUACCAACCCGAUGCAAACUGCGAAUACCGGAGAAUGUUAUCACGGGAGACACACGGCGGGUGCUAACGUCCGUCGUGAAGAGGGAAACAACCCAGACCGCCAGCUAAGGUCCCAAAGUCAUGGUUAAGUGGGAAACGAUGUGGGAAGGCCCAGACAGCCAGGAUGUUGGCUUAGAAGCAGCCAUCAUUUAAAGAAAGCGUAAUAGCUCACUGGUCGAGUCGGCCUGCGCGGAAGAUGUAACGGGGCUAAACCAUGCACCGAAGCUGCGGCAGCGACGCUGAUGCGUUGUUGGGUAGGGGAGCGUUCUGUAAGCCUGUGAAGGUGUGCUGUGAGGCAUGCUGGAGGUAUCAGAAGUGCGAAUGCUGACAUAAGUAACGAUAAAGCGGGUGAAAAGCCCGCUCGCCGGAAGACCAAGGGUUCCUGUCCAACGUUAAUCGGGGCAGGGUGAGUCGACCCCUAAGGCGAGGCCGAAAGGCGUAGUCGAUGGGAAACAGGUUAAUAUUCCUGUACUUGGUGUUACUGCGAAGGGGGGACGGAGAAGGCUAUGUUGGCCGGGCGACGGUUGUCCCGGUUUAAGCGUGUAGGCUGGUUUUCCAGGCAAAUCCGGAAAAUCAAGGCUGAGGCGUGAUGACGAGGCACUACGGUGCUGAAGCAACAAAUGCCCUGCUUCCAGGAAAAGCCUCUAAGCAUCAGGUAACAUCAAAUCGUACCCCAAACCGACACAGGUGGUCAGGUAGAGAAUACCAAGGCGCUUGAGAGAACUCGGGUGAAGGAACUAGGCAAAAUGGUGCCGUAACUUCGGGAGAAGGCACGCUGAUAUGUAGGUGAAGUCCCUCGCGGAUGGAGCUGAAAUCAGUCGAAGAUACCAGCUGGCUGCAACUGUUUAUUAAAAACACAGCACUGUGCAAACACGAAAGUGGACGUAUACGGUGUGACGCCUGCCCGGUGCCGGAAGGUUAAUUGAUGGGGUCAGCGCAAGCGAAGCUCUUGAUCGAAGCCCCGGUAAACGGCGGCCGUAACUAUAACGGUCCUAAGGUAGCGAAAUUCCUUGUCGGGUAAGUUCCGACCUGCACGAAUGGCGUAAUGAUGGCCAGGCUGUCUCCACCCGAGACUCAGUGAAAUUGAACUCGCUGUGAAGAUGCAGUGUACCCGCGGCAAGACGGAAAGACCCCGUGAACCUUUACUAUAGCUUGACACUGAACAUUGAGCCUUGAUGUGUAGGAUAGGUGGGAGGCUUUGAAGUGUGGACGCCAGUCUGCAUGGAGCCGACCUUGAAAUACCACCCUUUAAUGUUUGAUGUUCUAAC
RNAcentral lists this ribosomal RNA (2198 nucleotides) under Escherichia coli. Its description in RNAcentral is "bacterial LSU rRNA". It matches the Rfam family "Bacterial large subunit ribosomal RNA", at positions 1 to 2226 of the family's 2925-position model. The record is from RNAcentral. Lineage: Bacteria; Pseudomonadati; Pseudomonadota; Gammaproteobacteria; Enterobacterales; Enterobacteriaceae.